RNAcentral lists this ribosomal RNA (497 nucleotides) under uncultured bacterium. RNAcentral's name for it is "partial 16S ribosomal RNA". It matches the Rfam family "Bacterial small subunit ribosomal RNA", at positions 28 to 507 of the family's 1533-position model. The record is from RNAcentral.
GAUGAACGCUGGCGGCGUGCCUAAUACAUGCAAGUCGAGCGAACAGACGAGGAGCUUGCUCCGCUGCCGUUAGCGGCGGACGGGUGAGUCACACGUGGAUAACCUCCCUAUAAGACUGGGAUAACUUCGGGAAACCGUAACUAAUACCGGAUAAUAUAUUGAACCGCAUGGUUCAAUAGUGAAAUACGGUUUUUCUGUCACUUAUAGAUGGAUCCGCGCCGCAUUAGCUGGUUGGUAAGGUAACGGCGUACCAAGGCGACGAUGCGUAGACGACCUGAGGGGGUGAUCGGCCACCCGGGAACUGAGACACGCACCAGACUCCUACGGGAGGCAGCAGUAGGCAAUCUGACGCAAUGGGCGAAAGCCUUACGCAGCAAGGCCGCGUGAGUGAUGAAGGUCUUCGGAUCGGAAAACCCUGCUAUUAGGGAAGAACAAAUGUGUAAGGAACUAUGCACGUCGUGACGGUACCUGAUCAGAAAGCCACGGCUAACUACGUG